This is a long non-coding RNA of Helicoverpa armigera (cotton bollworm), 1572 nucleotides long. RefSeq lists it as uncharacterized. The transcript is spliced from 3 exons. The record is from RefSeq and is a predicted model, not a curated record. NCBI's taxonomy places the organism in Eukaryota, Metazoa, Arthropoda, Insecta, Lepidoptera, Noctuidae.
AGCGUAGGACAAUGUCUCAAGACAGACUUAAGGAAAAUUCUUUGGGAAACACCCGCAUACAAGAAACUAUCAAGAUUUUAUUCGUGUUGAGUUUAAUUUUCGCCAUUUUCGCUAUGCUGGUGCAAGCAGCUCCCGAUAGAAAAGGAUCACGCCUUCCACUGAUACCCCAAAUCGGUACUAAAUUCCCGGCUUCCAGACUCGUUUACUAUUACAAUCGUAACAAAAAUCAUAAUAAUGGUUAAACAGCAUCCACAAAAAGAAUGGGCGUGAUGACAGGGAAAAAAAAUAGUGAUUUUAGAUUGGCCACAAAUAUUAGAUACAUUUUUUUUUAUUUUAACAAAUCAUUAUAUAAGUUUUUCAAUUUUAGGGUAGUCUAAAAGAUGGACUAAUUCACAAUGUGGGACACAUAUUUCUACUUAUCUCUUUUGUCAACCCUCUUAUAAUACUCUUUUUUUGUAAUUUAAGCUAGUUCACCGACAGCCUUAAAAACAAACUGUUUACUUUGAAAACUGAAAAUAAAAAUUAUAGCAAACAAUUGUUUUAAUAAAACUGACGCUUAUGUUGUCGGUGAACUACGGCCUUAGUUGUUUCGUAAUGCCUGAAUAAUUGUGUAUGUGUUAUGUUCUCGUCAAUAAAUGUAUACUUAUUUUUUAUAUUUUUAACUGUAUCAAACCUGUCCUUCGUUUUUUUUCAUUUGUUAUAUUCUACUUUCACUAUUGGAAAACUACACUAUCCCCGAGUAACAUAGGCUAUAUUUUAUCCUGGUACGGGUAUAAAUUCUUCAGGGAUGCGAGUGAAACCGCGGGAAAGCAGCUAGUAAUGUAAUAAAGGUUUUAUUUUAUUUAUUUAGGUAAAUUACGAGCCAUAAAAUUAUGUAUUCUUCUUAUUUUUAUUUAUAGCUCCUUCGUUAUUUUCGAAGUAAGUAUAUCAAAGUAGGACACUGAUCGGUUAGAAACAUAAACAGAUUGAAUCAUCAUUUAUAUAAAUAAAGCAUUAGGCUAAUUCUGCGAUUAAAAUGUAUGCGGAUGACAUCUCACAAUAUUAUGUUAUAUGGUAUUCGGACCAAUUAUUUCCUCUAUACUUAGAAUACAUUUAAUACUUACAACGAAGUACAUAUACAGUAUAUGUAUAUGUCUUUCCGUAUUAUUGACACGAUAGUGUUAACUAAUUUUGUCACUCCAAAUUGCAUUUAUUUUGUAAUUUUGUUCCUAUUGAAUCAAUAGCUGACGUUAUGUUUUAUUUUGUAUAUGUAGGUAUAAUAUAAACGUGUAAAUUCGAGGCAUAAACUAAAUAUAUUCUGUGAGCGAUAGUCGUGUUCAUAUUGAUAAUGAAGUUUAUUUAUAUUUUGUUAUUUUUCGUUAUGUUUGUCGGUAGUUUUGGUAAGAAGGAUGAAUUGUUAAGACAUCAACAACACAGCGGUGUAGGUAAAGGACAGGGGUUACAUGAGAUUGUGUCUUCAGGCUCAGCUGAAUACCUCCAAAAACGUUAUAAUGCCAUCAGAAACCAGACAAGAGUUGGAAAUACGGACUAUUUACCUAAGGGUAUAAAAUAAUAAUUUAAAAUUAAAUGUAA